UUAUAUUGAUUUACUGUUUCAUAAUCAAGCAAAUCUCCCAGGAUCUGGGUCUUUCACAUCUGCAGGAUCUCUCUUCUUUUUAUUUGCCUUAGAAAAGAGAAAAAGAAGUCCCCACCUCAACCUACAUAAAACAUCAUUCUUUAUUUCUUUCAUGCACUGUGGUCUCUUCUUAUCAUGUCAAGGAGUUGAGUGAUCAAUCAAACAAAGUGUGCUUUUCCUGCUUUCCUCCAUGCUGCUUUCUGUUUUUCCUGAAAACCUUCCUCUCUCCAUGCAUAAAAGGAAAAAUAUAUAUAUGGCAAAAGUUAUAUAGCUAACUUUUCAUUAUAUUUUUGACCUCACCAACCAACAUAAUAAAAAUUUCUCCAGAAGAAUACCAUCAAAGUCGGGGAACAAGAAGAAUUUUUAUAGAGAUAUUUUGGGAUCUUUUUGACAGAAAACCAUGCCAAGACAGGUUCCAUCCGGUACAUAAUUUUGGAAGCAAGAAGACAAUUUAAGGGCGGCCCAAACUCAAGCCUGGGUGGCUCAACAGGUGAAACAUCAAGGAAUUAUAGCAGACUGGGUGCAGGCAAUUAAGUUUGUAAAGUCAUGAAACAUGAAGGAUUCAAGUUAUG
Non-coding RNA from Theobroma umbraticum, 611 nucleotides. NCBI's taxonomy places the organism in Eukaryota, Viridiplantae, Streptophyta, Magnoliopsida, Malvales, Malvaceae. The record is from RefSeq and is a predicted model, not a curated record.